GUGCUCGCUUCGGCAGCCCAUAUACUAAAAUUGGAACGAUACAGAGAUUAGUAUGGCCCCUAUGCAAGGAUGACACGCAAAUUUGUGAAGCGUUCCUUAUUUUU
This 104-nucleotide small nuclear RNA is filed under the name Tupaia belangeri (northern tree shrew). Lineage: Eukaryota; Metazoa; Chordata; Mammalia; Scandentia; Tupaiidae. The record is from RNAcentral.